This 504-nucleotide ribosomal RNA is filed under the name uncultured bacterium. RNAcentral's name for it is "partial 16S ribosomal RNA". It matches the Rfam family "Bacterial small subunit ribosomal RNA", at positions 28 to 523 of the family's 1533-position model. The record is from RNAcentral.
GAUGAACGCUAGCGACAGGCUUAACACAUGCAAGUCGAGGGGCAGCACGGGAGUAGCAGUACAACUGGUGGCGACCGGCGCACGGGUGAGUAACGCGUAUGCAACCUACCUAUCAGAGGGGAAUAACCCGGCGAAAGUCGGACUAAUACCGCAUAAAACAGGGGCACCGCAUGGUGAUAUUUGUUAAAGAAAUUCGCUGAUAGAUGGGCAUGCGUUCCAUUAGGUAGUUGGGGAGGUAACGGCUCACCAAGCCGACGAUGGAUAGGGGAACUGAGAGGUUGGUCCCCCACACUGGUACUGAGACACGGACCAGACUCCUACGGGAGGCAGCAGUGAGGAAUAUUGGUCAAUGGGCGGGAGCCUGAACCAGCCAAGUCGCGUGAAGGAAGAAGGAUCUAUGGUUCGUAAACUUCUUUUGCAGGGGAAUAAAGUGCAGGACGUGUCCUGUUUUGUAUGUACCCUGAGAAUAAGGAUCGGCUAACUCCGUGCCAGCCGCCGCGGUAA